GCCGCUGCUCCUUCAUGUGGAGAGGAGCCAGUUGAGGGUGGGACGCCUCCUGGAUGCCUCCCGGCUGAGAUGUUCCGGGCACGUCCCACCUGGAGGAGGCCCCGGGGAAGACCCAGGACAUGCUGGAGGGACUAUGUUUCUCGGCUGGCCUGGGAACACCGUGG
Molecule: long non-coding RNA, 164 nt
Organism: Xiphophorus hellerii (green swordtail)
Lineage: Eukaryota; Metazoa; Chordata; Actinopteri; Cyprinodontiformes; Poeciliidae
Exons: 3
Source: RefSeq, a predicted model, not a curated record